Molecule: non-coding RNA, 23 nt
Filed under: Gossypium hirsutum (cotton)
Lineage: Eukaryota; Viridiplantae; Streptophyta; Magnoliopsida; Malvales; Malvaceae
Also listed under: 2 other names
Source: RNAcentral
CUGCCCUAUCAACUUUCGAUGGU